Molecule: ribosomal RNA, 484 nt
Filed under: uncultured bacterium
Lineage: Bacteria
Description: partial 16S ribosomal RNA
Rfam family: Bacterial small subunit ribosomal RNA
Source: RNAcentral
AUUGAACGCUGGCGGCAGGCCUAACACAUGCAAGUCGAGCGGAUGAAGGGAGCUUGCUCCUGGACUCAGCGGCGGACGGGUGAGUAAUGCCUAGGAAUCUGCCUGGUAGUGGGGGAUAACGUCCGGAAACGGGCGCUAAUACCGCAUACGUCCUGAGGGAGAAAGUGGGGGAUCUUCGGACCUCACGCUAUCAGAUGAGCCUAGGUCGGAUUAGCUAGUUGGUGGGGUAAAGGCCUACCAAGGCGACGAUCCGUAACUGGUCUGAGAGGAUGAUCAGUCACACUGGAACUGAGACACGGUCCAGACUCCUACGGGAGGCAGCAGUGGGGAAUAUUGGACAAUGGGCGAAAGCCUGAUCCAGCCAUGCCGCGUGUGUGAAGAUGGUCUUCGGAUUGUAAAGCACUUUAAGUUGGGAGGAAGGGCAGUAAGUUAAUACCUUGCUGUUUUGACGUUACCAACAGAAUAAGCACCGGCUAACUUCGUG